RNAcentral lists this long non-coding RNA (4931 nucleotides) under Sus scrofa (pig). RNAcentral describes it as "lncRNA (ENSSSCG00035069265.1)". Lineage: Eukaryota; Metazoa; Chordata; Mammalia; Artiodactyla; Suidae. The record is from RNAcentral.
CAAUGCUGGAUCCUUAACCCACUGUGCCACAGCAGAUGUGACUUGGAUCCCAUGUUGUUGUAGCUGUGAUGUAGGCUGGUAGCUGCAGCUCCAUUUCAACCCAAGGCCCAGGGAACUUCCAGAUGCCAUAGGUUUGGCCAAAACAAAACAAAACCAAACCAACAAACCAAACAAAAAACAAAAUAAAACAAAAAACCCACUUCUUGGUAUUAUUGAUCUUUUCUAUUGUUUUUUAAAAAUCUCUAUCUUAUUAAUUUCCUCUCUGAUUUUAUUAUUUCCUUCCUUCUGCUGACUCUGGGAUUUAUUUGUUCUUCUUUUUCUAAUUCUUUUAGUAGUAGAUUAGGUUGUUUGAGAUUUUUCUUAUUUCUUGAGGAAGGCCUAUAUCACUAUGAACUUCCUUCUUAGAACUGCUUUUGCUAUAACCCAUAGAUAUUGUAAGGUUGUGUUUUUCAUUUUCCUUUGUCUCAAGGCAUUUUCUGUUUUCUUCUUUGAUUUCAUUGUUGACGCAUUGUUUUUUUUAGUAGCAUGUUUUUUCAGUCUCCAUGUGUUCUUUCUUUUCCUGUUUUUCUUUCCAUGGUUGAUUUCUAAUUUCACAUCAUUUGGGGCAGAAAAUGUGCACAAAAUAAUUUAUAUUCUUUUAAAUUUUAUUUGUUUUAUAUAUUUAGGUGACCCUGUAUUGGGUGCAUAUAUUUUAAUAAGUACAAUAUCCUUUUCUUGUAUUGAACCCUUUAUCAUUAUAUAAUGUCCAUCUUUGUCUUUCUUUAAGCCUUUAUUUUAAAGUCUAUUUUGUCAGAUACGAGUAUUGCUGCCCUUAUUUUCUUGUCAUUCCUAUUUACAUGAAAUGUCUUUUUCCAUCCCUUCAAUCUGUAAGUGUGUCUUUUUCCCUGAAGUAAAUUUCUCUUAGGUAGCCUAUUAUAGGUUCUUGUUUUAUAUCUAAUCUUCCACUCUAUAUCUUUUGAUUGGAACAUUAAGUCCACUGACAUUUAAAGUAAUUAUUGAUAGGUGUGUACUUACUGCCAUUUUAAAUCUUGUUUCCUAGUUGUUUUUGUAGUUCUUCUUUGUUCAUUUCUUCUUUUUUUUAUUUUCCUUUUGUGGUUACACUGGAUUUCAAGUAUGUUGACCCAUAACUGUACCUACUUGCUUUAAACUGAUUGUCAUACGUGUUCAAACACAUUUAAAAAAAUACAUUUUUUAAUCCCCUUCCCCUACAUUUUAUGAUUUUUGAUACUCUUUUACAUCUUUGUGAUUAUUAUUUUGCUGUUACUUUCAGUUAUAGUUGAUGUUAUAAAUUUUUUUAUCUUUUAAUCUAUGUGCUAGUUUAUGAAUCCUUUUAUAUAUUCACUUUUCCUAUUAUGAUUUUUCUCUUUCCUUUAGAUUCCUGCUUCUUUUCUAUUUAAAGAAGACCUUUCAAUAUUUAUUUUAGGGUAGGUUUAGUAUUGCUGAGUUUUUUUUUAGUUUUUGCUUGUCUGAGAAAUUCUUUGUCUCUUCUAUUCCAAAUGAUCUUGCUGGGUAGAGUAUCUUAGGUUGCAUAUUUUCCCCUUUCAAGAUUUUGAAUGUAUCAUGCCAGCCAUUCAUUUUUAUUUGGCUUAUAGACUGUUCAAACAGAGCUAGUAAAGGGAGAAAUGGUGAGAAUGAGUACUCUUUCUACAACAAAAUUAUAAACAGUGAAUCUUAAUUCCUUAAUAUGUUAUUUUGUGUAAAAUCAUAAGGCAUUUACACUUUUAAUAAAGCAUAAUCAAUCCACUGGGGCCCUCUUACUAUGACCAAUUGUAAGGGCAAUGAAUUUGGGCCUCAACCAAUGUGAAUUUAUUUUAAUUAGAGCAUCUAUACCUAUGGUAGGACUGGGCAGUUUCACUGAGUUUACCACUUCGCAGAGUUUUCAAGUCUAAUGGUGCUUCUGGUAAGGGUGAGAGAUAGUUGAACUCCACAGACUCAAUGUCCAGUGACACCAAAAACACUUAAGGUUUACCCCUGUUUAAAAUUUGAAGGUUUACCAAGCACUAAGAUGACCUGGAAUCCAGUAUCAAAGAGGGCUGUAAAAACUGCAAAUUAUGUGGAGGCCAGUGUAACUCCAAUGAAGCAUCUGAGAUGUGCCCACAGGGAAUGGUCAUGACAAUCAAGGACUGUCAGGUCCCUAAUGGGACAAAGGGCUUCCAAUGACAAAUGUCAGAAAAGGGAUUUCAUAUGCAUACGGGGUUCACUUGGGGGUGUUGGAGAGAUGGCCUUGAGUGAAGCAAUGGUUGUCAUGGUAGUUAGAAGAGCAGUAGCAAUAUUAGAUGUGGCAUUAGGAACAAAUAAUAAUUGAACGAUUUGUUCGAGUAAGGCCUGUCACUAGUAGACUUCCUAAAAUCAAAUUAUUAGAGAAUCCUAAAUCCCUGAGUCUUCUGUACCAAAUAUUUGAAACGGGGUCCUAAUGGGGGCCUGUUUGAGAGACCUCUAUUGUAUUGCUAUUAUCAUUGUAAUGAUCAUUUUACUGAGGCCACUCUUUGCUUGAGUUGGGUGCGCUGUGUCAUCCAGGGCAAAUUUAUAUGCAUUAACAGUUCUAAUAUGUCUACAGCCUAGUGGCCUGGCCUAUGAAAUACAAUAAUGAGGCACAAUAAAUGCAGGGGGAUCCUUGUAAGAACAGUGAGAGGAUGUCUAAAUCUAAAGGGACUUGUUCAGGGAUGGUUAGAGCAUCUCUUCCUUCAGACUAUUUGGCAUAAUAAUUGAUCUGUAAUAGGACCAAAGAGGACAAUGCCUAUUUUCCCAUAAUAAUUGGCAACUGUCCUCUGAAAUAGUCUGAUUACUGAGGACAUGCUUAUUAAGAAGAGUGGCAGUUGGAUUCUCCAGGCCAUCAACUGGUGGAGAGAGGAGGUCAAGGGUUAUGUCUACCUGCAAGGCAAGCAAAGGUUUAAGCUAGCUACUUGAAGAGCUAGGUCAGGGAUCUCAAUAGAUUUGACUUAAGGACCCUGAGAAACACUAGGCAGCUGUCUCAUUUUGAGGUAAUUGAGUUCUUUGUAUUAAAGAGAUAUGAUCAACAGGCUGCCCAUUGUAAGAUAAACAAGUACUAGGGAUGUAAUGUAGAACAUGCUGACUCUAACACUGCUGUAUGAACAUAUAUGAAAGGCGUUAAAAGAGUAAAUCUUAACAGCUCUCACAUAAGGAAUUUUUUCUUUUUCUUUUGUAUCUAUUGGAGCUAAUUGAUAUUAACUAAACUUCUUGUGCUAAUCACUUUACAAAAUAUUUAAGUCACAUCAUCAUGCUGUACACACUAAACUUAUACAGUGCUGUAUGUCAAUUAGGUCUCAAAAUUAGAAAAAAAUGAGAUUCAAGAAACCGUUUUAAAAGAUGGAAAGGGGUAUUCUAAUGCAAGGUAGUAGUGCUGUUGUGUAGCUUACUAAUUCAAUCCAAUCCUCACUUACUGAACACUAAUUACCAAAUAUCAGAGAAAUAUCAGUUUGCCCUGGCUGGCAUGAAUGGCCAAUGAAUGGUACAAAGGAGGAAGUUGCAAGAAAAAUAAAUUGGGAAAGGUGAUUGCUGAAGGAUACUAGGAUAAAUAAAACUUGGAAGACAGACUUGCCUGUAAGGUUAGGAGAAGAGGAAGGGGGAGGAGAGAACAAAAGAGAGAGAUUAAUUCCAUAAGAUUGCCAUGAGCAAAAGAAUAAUGAUUACAAAAGGGAGCCAGUGAGUCACGCUGCUUCUCACAGGAGCAGAGGAGCUAAAGAAGGGAGGGAGUGGGCGCUCUUAACCUUUCCCGUUGUACUUAACAGCUUCCUCUAAUGCCUCUUGUUGAGUUUGUCAUUUUUUCACAUUAACAUUUAGUCCUUUUUAAAAUUCUUGAGAUAAUCACCAUAAUUAUUCUGAGGCUACAAUCCACAUAAUUAAUAUAUCAGGACUGGUUGUAUGAAUUUUAAAGCAGAAUCCUGGUUAAAAAUUGAAGUUAUACUUUCUGAUUCUUUCAAGCUGGAGGUAAAUAUCUCCCACCUCUGAACUUCCAUGACAUUUAUCUGUUAUGCUUUGUAUUCUGACAUUUGUGUGAAGUUGAAUCACCUUUCACAGACUGUGAGUUCCUUGAGCAGAAAGACCAUGUCUGUCUCAUCUUUCAUCUCACUGCCUGACACAAUGCCUGGCACAUUGCAGAUGUCCCUAAGUAUUGUGUUGUGGAAUAAUGAUGCAAGAAUGAAUUACAAUUAGAUAAAUCAGUCUAGCCCUUGGCUCUUUGUUCUGGACAUUUCUUUAGUGAAUGGGGAAUGUCUGUCUGGAUGAAACCACUAACCUGGAAAUAUCAAGAAGGAAUAUUUGACCACAUUUUGGAGACAGGCAAUUUCUGGCUUUCUAUGAAGAACAAAAGACAAUUUUAGUCACAAGAACUGACGAUUCACCCUGCCAAGAACUCAUGGAGGUUUGCAGAGCUCAGACCUGAGUGGCUUUUUAAGACUAUCCCAUAGGAUUUGGGGAAAGUUCAUCAUUGGGACUUUGGUAUGUAUGAAGAGGGGAAGGGGAAAUGUCAUACAAGGCAGAUUCCUGUCUCCAGAGAACUUAAUAUUGUUGGAAAAAUAAGACUCACACAUUUUGAGCAAUAAGAGUAGACUUUAAGCCGGGAGCCAAAUUAUGAGGCCAAGAAGAGGGAGAAAUACCUGUGCACUGAGAGUCAAGAAGGAAGGCCUGAGAUUGGGCUUGGUGUGUGUUAGUGGGAAAAGAAUAAAAAUCACUGUCACAAGACCCUAAAGUCCCAGUUAUGUUGAUGAAUGACCUGUGUAACAUGGAUCUUAGCCUCAGUUUUCUCAUCUGCACAAAGGGGCUAAUAAUAACACAUCCUGUGCUUCCUAGCAAGGGUAAUUGAUAAACAAGUUCCUCCAAGUGAAUGCAUUGUGGAGGUGGGAAAAUGCUGAACAAGUGAGAGUGAAUAUGGGUAAACCUUGAAGGAUGGAUUUUUUUUCCCAUUAAGAUUG